GACGAACGCUGGCGGCGUGCCUAAUACAUGCAAGUCGAACGAACCGCGACUAAGUGCUUGCACUAAGUCAAGGUGAGUGGCGAACGGGUGAGUAACACGUGGGUAACCUACCUCAUAGUGGGGGAUAACAGUCGGAAACGACUGCUAAUACCGCAUAGGACAUAGGAUCACAUGAUCCAGUGAGGAAAGGUGGCGCAAGCUAUCGCUAAGAGAUGGACCCGCGGUGCAUUAGCUAGUUGGUAGGGUAAAGGCCUACCAAGGCGAUGAUGCAUAGCCGACCUGAGAGGGUGAUCGGCCACAUUGGGACUGAGACACGGCCCAAACGCCUACGGGAGGCAGCAGUAGGGAAUCUGCCGCAAUGGACGCAAGUCUGACGGAGCAACGCCGCGUGAGUGAAGAAGGGCUUCGGAUCGUAAAGCUCUGUUGUUAGAGAAGAACAGCGCAUAGAGUAACUGCUAUGCGUGGGACGGUAUCUAACCAGAAAGCCACGGCUAACUACGG
This 501-nucleotide ribosomal RNA is filed under the name uncultured bacterium. RNAcentral's name for it is "partial 16S ribosomal RNA". It matches the Rfam family "Bacterial small subunit ribosomal RNA", at positions 28 to 506 of the family's 1533-position model. The record is from RNAcentral.